AAUAAGUACAGUUUUGUAUUAUUCAUCUCCAACGUUUAACCGUUCGUCUUAUUUAAAAAUUUUUUAUGAUUACUAUUUUUAUUGUUAUUAGAUGAUAAAAUAUGAAUAAUAUUUUAUAUGUGACUAAUUUUUAAAAUAAAAUCAUAUUUUUUUAAAUAAGACAGACGGUCAAACGUUGAAUACGGAUUUCCACGGCUGUAUUUAUU
Non-coding RNA from Oryza meridionalis, 206 nucleotides. The record is from Rfam. NCBI's taxonomy places the organism in Eukaryota, Viridiplantae, Streptophyta, Magnoliopsida, Poales, Poaceae.